UUCCUACGGGGCGCAGCAGUCGGGAAUAUUGCGCAAUGGAGGAAACUCUGACGCAGUGACGCCGCGUGCAGGAAGAAGGUUUUCGGAUUGUAAACUGCUUUAGAUAGGGAAGAAAAAAAUGACAGUACCUAUAGAAUAAGCUCCGGCUAACUACGUGCCAGCAGCCGCGGUAAUACGUAGGGAGCGAGCGUUAUCCGGAUUUAUUGGGUGUAAAGGGUGCGUAGAUGGAUAAACAAGUUGGUUGUGAAAUCCCUCGGCUUAACUGAGGAAUUGCAACCAAAACUGUAGAUCUUGAGUACUGGAGG
RNAcentral lists this ribosomal RNA (305 nucleotides) under uncultured bacterium. RNAcentral's name for it is "bacterial SSU rRNA". It matches the Rfam family "Bacterial small subunit ribosomal RNA", at positions 336 to 655 of the family's 1533-position model. The record is from RNAcentral.